CGAACGCUGGCGGCGUGCCUAACACAUGCAAGUUGAGCGACGAACCAGGGCUUGCCCUGGGGCAAAGCAGCGAACGGGUGAGUAACACGUGGGUAACCUACCCCGAUAACCGGGACAACCCGAGGAAACUCGGGCUAAUACCGGAUGUGCUCACUGGACUUCGGUUCAGUGCGUAAAGGAAGCUUCGGCCUCCGUAUCGGGAGGGGCCCGCGGCCCAUUAGUUUGUUGGUGAGGUAACGGCUCACCAAGACCGCGAUGGGUAGCUGGUCUGAGAGGACGAUCAGCCACACUGGGACUGAGACACGGCCCAGACUCCUACGGGAGGCAGCAGUGGGGAAUCUUGCGCAAUGCGCGAAAGCGUGACGCAGCAACGCCGCGUGGGGGAAGAAGGCCUUCGGGUUGUAAACCCCUUUCAGGAGGGACGAAGGUUCGGCGGUGAAUAGCCGUCCGGACUGACGGUACCUCCACAAGAAGCCCCGGCUAACUACGUG
Molecule: ribosomal RNA, 491 nt
Filed under: uncultured bacterium
Lineage: Bacteria
Description: partial 16S ribosomal RNA
Rfam family: Bacterial small subunit ribosomal RNA
Source: RNAcentral